UACGUAGGGUGCAGGCGUUAAUCGGAAUUACUGGGCGUAAAGCGUGCGCAGGCGGUUUCUUAAGUCAGAUGUGAAAGCCCCGGGCUUAACCUGGGAACUGCGUUUGAAGCUGGGAGACUUGAGUGUGGCAGAGGGGGGUGGAAUUCCACGUGUAGCAGUGAAAUGCGUAGAUAUGUGGAGGAACACCGAUGGCGAAGGCAAUCCCCUGGGCCUGCACUGACGCUCAUGCACGAAAGCGUGGGGAGCAAACAGG
Molecule: ribosomal RNA, 253 nt
Filed under: uncultured bacterium
Lineage: Bacteria
Description: partial 16S ribosomal RNA
Rfam family: Bacterial small subunit ribosomal RNA
Source: RNAcentral